UCCAGAGUUUGGAUAUGGGCAGUUGGA
This 27-nucleotide non-coding RNA is filed under the name Rattus norvegicus (Norway rat). Lineage: Eukaryota; Metazoa; Chordata; Mammalia; Rodentia; Muridae. The record is from RNAcentral.